Molecule: transfer RNA, 76 nt
Filed under: Candidatus Niyogibacteria bacterium CG10_big_fil_rev_8_21_14_0_10_42_19
Lineage: Bacteria; Candidatus Niyogiibacteriota
Description: tRNA-Thr
Rfam family: tRNA
About the family: Transfer RNA (tRNA) molecules are approximately 80 nucleotides in length. Their secondary structure includes four short double-helical elements and three loops (D, anti-codon, and T loops). Further hydrogen bonds mediate the characteristic L-shaped molecular structure. tRNAs have two regions of fundamental functional importance: the anti-codon, which is responsible for specific mRNA codon recognition, and the 3' end, to which the tRNAs corresponding amino acid is attached (by aminoacyl-tRNA synthetases). tRNAs cope with the degeneracy of the genetic code in two manners: having more than one tRNA (with a specific anti-codon) for a particular amino acid; and 'wobble' base-pairing, i.e. permitting non-standard base-pairing at the 3rd anti-codon position.
Source: RNAcentral
GCCGAUGUAGCUCAGCUGGUAGAGCAACUCCAUGGUAAGGAGUAGGUCGUCGGUUCAAGUCCGACCAUCGGCUCCC